UGCUCGGUGGCGGCCGCGUGUGGUGUUUGGGCGGUGCGCGGUCCGUCAGCCUGACCAGCUGGUAGUCUCGUGCCCACCGCCUCGUGCCCGCCUGGGACUCAGCUGCUCGCGGAGCUGAUAGUGUGUAAAGAUUCCCUCAAGGAAGGAAGAAACAAAAGGCAGCAAAGUGGCAGGAUGCUGAGCGCUGAAGGCACAUAGUCUUUAUCAUAAAAGAGGAACGAAGCACGGAGCUCGGUGAGAUAAAUAUUAAUGAGGCUUUGGGAAUAUCUUCCAGAAGAUUAAUAAGAAGCAGGUAAAGGAAUAUUUAGAUAAUUUAAACAUUUAUGAUUCAGAAAGUCCAAAUCAUAUUCAACCAAAGAAUCUGAAGAAACUGGCUGAGAAGGAUCUAAUAGACAUCUCUCCGACCUCAUGGAAAAAGGUUAGGCACCAAAGGAUUGAGGAAGAAUGAAUUUCAGAAAGGAGGAAAAUGUGAAAGAAGGAGAAUUUCAUGCAAGUUGCCAUCAUUCCCUACUAUGGAAAAUGCAAUAGUAAAUACAUAAUUGUGCAUCAUUUGAUGCAAGUAGCAAUCCACUCUUAUGAGACUGUAAAUUUAUUAUCUUUGUCCAUCUCUCUUUUUGAUUAAUGUCAUUCAGUAUUAAUCAUUGCUGAAUUAUUUUACUAGAUAAAUAAGUCAAAUUCUCUACAUUUUCUUUACUCAUUUUAGUCACUAUGAAUUAAUCUUUCUUGUUGGUGCCCAAAAUGUCUAUCACAUCAAAGAUCAGGUUUGCAUUACUAUUUCCCUAACUCUACUAGCAUCCUUAUAUAGAUGAAAAUGGUGUUUUCUUCUCUCAUUGCUCCUUUAUGUUGGUCUGUAGAACAAUUUUGAAGUUGAUUGAGGCUCCCAGAUGUCCUUUUAUGGGUUUCUACCAAAUGAAAGUAAAAAUUCUUCUGUUUGUCUUUGAACCCAUGUCUUUGCAGUAUGCAAUAUUAAAUGCCAUUCUAUUUGUAUUUCUGAGAUCAUCGAUUGUCUAAAUUGUCUCACAUGAUGUUGUUCUGGUCCUUUUCUGUGUUGAUGGUAUCUUCCAAAUUUCUGUUUUCAGGAAAUUUCAUUACCAUAUUUUUCUUUUCUGUGUCAUGCUUAUUAAUGGAAAUAUUAAAUCAGUCUUUGAAGAACUCCAUUAGCAUGCUCCUUCCACUGCAGUAUUUUCCCUUUAAAUUGUAAUCUCUUCUUUAGAUAUUUCCUUGCCUACUUUAGAUUUCUUGUACUAUUCCCCAACUUCUCUUGCUUAACCAGUAAUUUUCCAAAUGGUAUUAUAUCAAAAGCCUUCGUGAAGUCCAGAUAAAUGAGACUUACUUCAUUUCCUUUGUCAAAAAUCUGUUACUUUAUCCGUGAAAAAAUAUCAGACGUUCCUGAGCAGUUACAUCUUGCUGGCGGUUAUAUUUCAGUUUAAUUUUUCUUCUGCAUUUUGAUGAAACUUAUAGUACUGUGUUCUCAGUUUUAAAGCCUACUACAUGCUGCACUUACCCACUACCUACAUGUUGUUAAAAUUUUCAUGAGGUUUUUUAGUAUGCAGAGGCAGUACUCGUGCUCAUAGGCAACAUUAACACAAUGGCUCUUUUGGAGCCAUUAUAGUUGAUCGUGCCAAUGAUCCAUGGAUUAUAUACUUUUACAAGGUCUGAUGCACUUGCAAACAAAAGGAUUUUUUCCUUUGCAUCUCUGUUUCUCAAGAGACAUUCUUUCUUUUCUCUCGCCCCCCCCCCCCCCCCCUUGCAAAAUCAUCCUUUAAUAUUAAUGCAAAGCAACCAAACAAAGGAAACCAAGCCACAAAAAUUCUAGCUAAGAUGAUGUGAUGAAUACACUUAAUCCUGGAACAGAAAAGUAAUUUCUGUCUCUUAUGUAGACUUUUUGUGGCUGCUUUUCUGUUCUCUGCUUCUGUAGAACAGAAAAGCUCUGACCUGCUCUUGGGAUCAUAAGCACACAUGCAAAUGUUCCAUUUUUAAC
Long non-coding RNA from Centrocercus urophasianus (Greater sage-grouse), 1981 nucleotides. RefSeq lists it as uncharacterized. The record is from RefSeq and is a predicted model, not a curated record. Lineage: Eukaryota; Metazoa; Chordata; Aves; Galliformes; Phasianidae. The transcript has 3 exons.